This 844-nucleotide ribosomal RNA is filed under the name uncultured Myroides sp. RNAcentral's name for it is "bacterial SSU rRNA". It matches the Rfam family "Bacterial small subunit ribosomal RNA", at positions 167 to 1006 of the family's 1533-position model. Lineage: Bacteria; Pseudomonadati; Bacteroidota; Flavobacteriia; Flavobacteriales; Flavobacteriaceae. The record is from RNAcentral.
UACCAUAUAGUAUAUUUGAAUGGCAUCGUUUGAAUAUUAAAGAUUUAUCGGUAAAAGAUGAGCAUGCGUCCCAUUAGUUAGUUAGUGUGGCAACGGCAUACCAAGACGAUGAUGGGUAGGGGUCCUGAGAGGGAGAUCCCCCACACUGGUACUGAGACACGGACCAGAUUCCUACGGGAGGCAGCAGUGAGGAAUAUUGGUCAAUGGAGGCAACUCUGAACCAGCCAUGCCGCGUGCAGGAUGACGGUCCUAUGGAUUGUAAACUGCUUUUGUACGGGAAGAAAACAAACUACGAGUAGUUAAUUGACGGUACCGUAAGAAUAAGGAUCGGCUAACUCCGUGUCAGCAGCCGCGGUAAUACGGAGGAUCCAAGCGUUAUCCGGAAUCAUUGGGUUUUAAAGGGUCCCGUAGGCGGCCUUAUAAGUCAGUGGUGAAAGUUUUUGGCUUAACCAAAAAAUUGCCAUUGAUACUGUAGGGCUUGAAUAUCUGUGAAGUAACUAGAAUAUGUAGUGUAGCGGUGAAAUGCUUAGAUAUUACAUGGAAUACCGAUUGCGAAGGCAGGUUACUAACAGAUGAUUGACGCUGAUGGACGAAAGCGUGGGUAGCGAACAGGAUUAGAUACCCUGGUAGUCCACGCCGUAAACGAUGGAUACUAGCUGUUUGGUUUUCGGACUGAGUGGCUAAGCGAAAGUGAUAAGUAUCCCACCUGGGGAGUACGGUCGCAAGACUGAAACUCAAAGGAAUUGACGGGGGGCCCGCCCNCCCCGNCGGAGCAUGUGGUUUAUUUCCAUGAUACGCGAGGAACCUUACCAGGGCUUAAAUGUAGAUUGAACAGAUUUGGAAC